RNAcentral lists this long non-coding RNA (246 nucleotides) under Gossypium barbadense (sea-island cotton). Its description in RNAcentral is "long non-coding RNA (GBAR_LNC003376)". Lineage: Eukaryota; Viridiplantae; Streptophyta; Magnoliopsida; Malvales; Malvaceae. The record is from RNAcentral.
CCUACUAUGCUGGGUUUCAGUUUUUCGUUGGACUAAAUAGUUGAACAUCCUUUUGUAAUUUUCGAAUUAUAAACUUUUGGAACUCAAAACAAGAAAGUUUUUGGUAACCAACUUGGGUUAUUCAAAUGUUAUCAAAAGGGAACCACAUUUCAAAAAAAACAUUUUUAAAUCUUAGACAUAAGGACAGCAUUUAAUUGAUUUGGUACCAAUUUUGGGUGUAAUGAGGGUGCUAAUCCUUUCUCAUGC